UGGGGAAUAUUGCACAAUGGGGGGAACCCUGAUGCAGCCAUGCCGCGUGUAUGAAGAAGGCCUUAGGGUUGUAAAGUACUUUCGGUGGUGAGGAAGGUGGUUAGUCGAAUAGGCUAAUUAAUUGACGUUAACUACAGAAGAAGCACCGGCUAACUCCGUGCCAGCAGCCGCGGUAAUACGGAGGGUGCGAGCGUUAAUCGGAAUGACUGGGCGUAAAGGGCAUGUAGGCGGAUGAUUAAGUUAGGUGUGAAAGCCCCGGGCUCAACCUGGGAAUUGCACUUAAAACUGGUCGUCUGGAGUAUUGUAGAGGAAGGUAGAAUUCCAUGUGUAGCGGUGAAAUGCGUAGAGAUGUGGAGGAAUACCGGUGGCGAAGGCGGCCUUCUGGACAGAUACUGACGCUGAGAUGCGAAAGCGUGGGGAGCAAACA
This 427-nucleotide ribosomal RNA is filed under the name uncultured bacterium. RNAcentral describes it as "bacterial SSU rRNA". It matches the Rfam family "Bacterial small subunit ribosomal RNA", at positions 355 to 774 of the family's 1533-position model. The record is from RNAcentral.